This 639-nucleotide ribosomal RNA is filed under the name uncultured marine eukaryote. Its description in RNAcentral is "SSU rRNA". It matches the Rfam family "Eukaryotic small subunit ribosomal RNA", at positions 617 to 1262 of the family's 1831-position model. The record is from RNAcentral.
GGUUAAAAAGCUCGUAGUUGGAUUUCUGUUGAGGGCGACCGGUGUACACCUCGUGUAUUAUUUGGUUCGGUCUCGGCAUCCUCUUGGGGAACGUUUCUGGACUUUAUUGGACAGGGCGAGAUUCAAGACUUUUACUUUGAGGAAAUUAGAGUGUUCACGGCAGGCAAGCGCUUUGAAUACAUUAGCAUGGAAUAAUAAUAUAGGACCUUCGUUCUAUUUUGUUGGUUUCUAGAACUUAGGUAAUGAUUAAUAGGGACAAUUGGGGGCAUUCGUAUUAACGCGUCAGAGGCGGAAUUCUUGGAUUGCGUUACGACGAACUACUGCGAAAGCAUUUGCCAAAGAUGUUUUCAUUGAUCAAGAACGAAAGUAUGGGAUCGAAGACGCUUAGAUACCGUCGUAGUCUAUACCAUAAACUAUGCCAACUAGAGAUUGGAGGGGUUCUCCUAUUUGGCUCCUCCAGCAUCUUAUGAGAAAUCAAAGUUUUUGGGUUCCGGGGGGAGUAUGGUCGCAAGGCUGAAACUUAAAGGAAUUGACGGAAGGGCACCACCAGGAGUGGAGCCUGCGGCUUAAUUUGACUCAACACGGGAAAACUUACCAGGUCCAGACAUAGUAAGGAUUGACAGAUUGAUAGCUCUUUCU